RNAcentral lists this ribosomal RNA (280 nucleotides) under uncultured bacterium. RNAcentral describes it as "partial 16S ribosomal RNA". It matches the Rfam family "Bacterial small subunit ribosomal RNA", at positions 338 to 634 of the family's 1533-position model. The record is from RNAcentral.
CCUACGGGUGGCAGCAGUAGGGAAUAUUGCACAAUGGGCGCAAGCCUGAUGCAGCAACGCCGCGUGCGCGAUGAAGGCCUUCGGGUCGUAAAGCGCUUUUCUGGAGGACGAGCGAGGACGGUACUCCAGGAAGAAGGAUCGGCUAACUACGUGCCAGCAGCCGCGGUAACACGUAGGAUCCGAGCGUUAUCCGAAUUUACUGGGCGUAAAGCGCGUGCAGGCGGUUUGGUAAGUUGGACGUGAAAUCUCCCGGCUCAACUGGGAGGGGUCGUUCAAGACU